CUGCCCUGGACUCUGGGAUAAGCGCUGGAAACGGCGUCUAAUACUGGAUAUGAGACGUGAUCGCAUGGUCGUGUUUGGAAAGAUUUUUCGGUCUGGGAUGGGCUCGCGGCCUAUCAGCUUGUUGGUGAGGUAAUGGCUCACCAAGGCGUCGACGGGUAGCCGGCCUGAGAGGGUGACCGGCCACACUGGGACUGAGACACGGCCCAGACUCCUACGGGAGGCAGCAGUGGGGAAUAUUGCACAAUGGGCGGAAGCCUGAUGCAGCAACGCCGCGUGAGGGAUGACGGCCUUCGGGUUGUAAACCUCUUUUAGCAGGGAAGAAGCGAAAGUGACGGUACCUGCAGAAAAAGCGCCGGCUAACUACGUGCCAGCAGCCGCGGUAAUACGUAGGGCGCAAGCGUUAUCCGGAAUUAUUGGGCGUAAAGAGCUCGUAGGCGGUUUGUCGCGUCUGCUGUGAAAUCCCGAGGCUCAACCUCGGGCCUGCAGUGGGUACGGGCAGACUAGAGUGCGGUAGGGGAGAUUGGAAUUCCUGGUGUAGCGGUGGAAUGCGCAGAUAUCAGGAGGAACACCGAUGGCGAAGGCAGAUCUCUGGGCCGUAACUGACGCUGAGGAGCGAAAGGGUGGGGAGCAAACAGGCUUAGAUACCCUGGUAG
This 653-nucleotide ribosomal RNA is filed under the name Microbacterium sp. 022S2-5. Its description in RNAcentral is "bacterial SSU rRNA". It matches the Rfam family "Bacterial small subunit ribosomal RNA", at positions 126 to 793 of the family's 1533-position model. The record is from RNAcentral. Lineage: Bacteria; Bacillati; Actinomycetota; Actinomycetes; Micrococcales; Microbacteriaceae.